This 108-nucleotide small nuclear RNA is filed under the name Mustela putorius furo (domestic ferret). The record is from RNAcentral. Lineage: Eukaryota; Metazoa; Chordata; Mammalia; Carnivora; Mustelidae.
GUGCCUACUUUGGCAGCAUAUACACUAAAAUUAGAACAAUACUGAGAAAAUUAGCAUGCCCCUCCCCACAAGGAUGUCAUGCAAAUUCAUGAGGCACUCCUUACUUGG